Molecule: transfer RNA, 105 nt
Filed under: Candidatus Heimdallarchaeota archaeon
Lineage: Archaea; Promethearchaeati; Candidatus Heimdallarchaeota
Description: tRNA-Ile
Rfam family: tRNA
About the family: Transfer RNA (tRNA) molecules are approximately 80 nucleotides in length.
Source: RNAcentral
GGGCCUGUAGCUCAGUUUAGGGUGUUUAACGCUUUCACUCUCUGAAAUGGUUAGAGCGUCCGGCUCAUAACCGGAUGGUCGUGGGUUCAAAUCCCCCCAGGCCCA